This 460-nucleotide ribosomal RNA is filed under the name uncultured bacterium. Its description in RNAcentral is "partial 16S ribosomal RNA". It matches the Rfam family "Bacterial small subunit ribosomal RNA", at positions 338 to 795 of the family's 1533-position model. The record is from RNAcentral.
CCUACGGGAGGCAGCAGUGAGGAAUAUUGGUCAAUGGCCGGAAGGCUGAACCAGCCAUGCCGCGUGAAGGUCAGUGCCCUAUGGGCGUUAAACUUCUUUUGUGCGGGAGCAAUAAUGGUCACGUGUGGCCAGACGAGAGUACCGUACGAAUAAGCAGCGGCUAACGCCGUGCCAGCAGCCGCGGUAAUACGGGGGAUGCAAGCGUUAUCCGGAUUUAUGGGGUUUAAAGGGUGCGUAGGCUGUGAGGUAAGUCAGCGGUGAAAUGCCCCCGGUCAAGGGGGUGAAGUGCCAUUGAUAAUGCCUUGCUGGAAUGCGGAUGAGGUAGGAGGAAUGUGUGGUGUAGCGGUGAAAUGCAUAGAUAUCACACAGAACACCGAUUGCGAAGGCAUCUCACGAAUCCGCGAUUGACGCUGAUGCACGAAAGCGUGGGUAUCAAACAGGAUUAGAUACCCUAGUAGUC